This 461-nucleotide ribosomal RNA is filed under the name uncultured bacterium. RNAcentral's name for it is "partial 16S ribosomal RNA". It matches the Rfam family "Bacterial small subunit ribosomal RNA", at positions 339 to 795 of the family's 1533-position model. The record is from RNAcentral.
CUACGGGGUGCACCAGUUUCGAAUAAUUCACAAUGGGCGCAAGCCUGAUGAUGCGACGUUACGUGAAGGAAGAAAGCUUUAAGUUGUAAACUUCUGUCGUUAAGGAACAGAAAAUUAAGUAGUACUUUUUAUAUUGAGUUAACUUAAGAAGGAAGCAGUGGCGUAAUUUCGUGCCAGCAGCCGCGGUAAUACGGGAACUGCAAGCGUUGCUCGGUUUUAUUGGGCGUAAAGAGUACGUAGGCUGUUAUAUAUGUUAAUUGUUAAAUUUUAAAGUUAAUCUUUAAAUUUGCUGUUAAAACUAUAUAACUAGAAUUUCAAAGAGGUAAGUGGAAUUUCAAGUGUAGCGGUGAAAUGCGUAGAUAUUUGAAGGAACACCAAUGGCGAAAGCAACUUACUGGGUGAUAAUUGACGCUAAAGUACGAAAGUAUAGGGAGCAAAAGGGAUUAGAUACCCGAGUAGUC